UCCCAACACCCGAUCCCAUUCCGAACUCGGCCGUGAAACGCCUCAGCGCCGAUGGUACUGCGUCUUAAGACGUGGGAGAGUAGGUCGCCGCCAGGU
RNAcentral lists this ribosomal RNA (96 nucleotides) under Azospirillum brasilense. Lineage: Bacteria; Pseudomonadati; Pseudomonadota; Alphaproteobacteria; Rhodospirillales; Azospirillaceae. The record is from RNAcentral.